AUGAACGCUGGCGGCAUGCCUUACACAUGCAAGGUCGAACGGCAGCACGGGAGCAAUCCUGGUGGCGAGUGGCGAACGGGUGAGUAAUAUAUCGGAACGUGCCCAGUCGUGGGGGAUAACGUAGCGAAAGCUACGCUAAUACCGCAUACGAUCUAUGGAUGAAAGCGGGGGAUCGCAAGACCUCGCGCGAUUGGAGCGGCCGAUAUCAGAUUAGGUAGUUGGUGAGGUAAAGGCUCACCAAGCCGACGAUCUGUAGCUGGUCUGAGAGGACGACCAGCCACACUGGGACUGAGACACGGCCCAGACUCCUACGGGAGGCAGCAGUGGGGAAUUUUGGACAAUGGGCGCAAGCCUGAUCCAGCAAUGCCGCGUGCAGGAUGAAGGCCUUCGGGUUGUAAACUGCUUUUGUACGGAACGAAACGGUGAGCUCUAAUACAGUUUGCUAAUGACGGUACCGUAAGAAUAAGCACCGGCUAACUACGUG
RNAcentral lists this ribosomal RNA (484 nucleotides) under uncultured bacterium. Its description in RNAcentral is "bacterial SSU rRNA". It matches the Rfam family "Bacterial small subunit ribosomal RNA", at positions 29 to 507 of the family's 1533-position model. The record is from RNAcentral.